This 426-nucleotide ribosomal RNA is filed under the name uncultured bacterium. RNAcentral's name for it is "bacterial SSU rRNA". It matches the Rfam family "Bacterial small subunit ribosomal RNA", at positions 354 to 796 of the family's 1533-position model. The record is from RNAcentral.
GCAGGGAAUUUUGUGCAAUGGGCGAAAGCCUGACACAGCGACGCCGCGUGAGGGAUGAAGGCCUUCGGGUUGUAAACCUCUUUUCUCAGGGAAGAAUAAUGACGGUACCUGAGGAAUAAGUCUCGGCCAACUACGUGCCAGCAGCCGCGGUAAUACGUAGGAGGCAAGCGUUAUCCGGAUUUAUUGGGCGUAAAGAGGGUGUAGGUGGCUCUAUAAGUCGGUUGUGAAAUCUCCUGGCUUAACUGGGAGGGGUCAGCCGAUACUGUGGGGCUUGAGGGCAGUAGAGGGAGGUGGAAUUCCCGGUGUAGUGGUGAAAUGCGUAGAUAUCGGGAGGAACACCAGUGGCGAAAGCGGCCUCCUAGGCUGCACCUGACGCUGAGGCCCGAAAGCGUGGGGAGCGAACAGGAUUAGAAACCCCGGUAGUCC